RNAcentral lists this unclassified non-coding RNA (524 nucleotides) under uncultured Glomeromycotina. Its description in RNAcentral is "SSU rRNA". It matches the Rfam family "Eukaryotic small subunit ribosomal RNA", at positions 571 to 1092 of the family's 1831-position model. The record is from RNAcentral. Lineage: Eukaryota; Fungi; Glomeromycota.
CACCGCGGUAAUUCCAGCUCCAAUAGCGUAUAUUAAAGUUGUUGCAGUUAAAAAGCUCGUAGUUGAAUUUCGGGAUUGACACAUCGGUCGUGCCUUAAGGGGUAUGAACUGGUGUAGUCAAUUUCUCACCUUCUGGAGAACCGCAAUGCCCUUAAUUGGGUGUCGCGGGGAACCAGGACCUUUACUUUGAAAAAAUUAGAGUGUUUAAAGCAGGCAUUUUGCUUGAAUACAUUAGCAUGGAAUAAUAAAAUAGGACGGAUGAUUCUAUUUUGUUGGUUUCUAGGACCACCGUAAUGAUUAAUAGGGAUAGUUGGGGGCAUUAGUAUUCAAUUGUCAGAGGUGAAAUUCUUGGAUUUAUUGAAGACUAACUACUGCGAAAGCAUUUGCCAAGGAUGUUUUCAUUAAUCAAGAACGAAAGUUAGGGGAUCGAAGACGAUCAGAUACCGUCGUAGUCUUAACCAUAAACUAUGCCGACUAGGAAUCAGACGAUGUUAAUUUUUUAAUGACUCGUUUGGCACCUUACG